Molecule: ribosomal RNA, 484 nt
Filed under: uncultured bacterium
Lineage: Bacteria
Description: partial 16S ribosomal RNA
Rfam family: Bacterial small subunit ribosomal RNA
Source: RNAcentral
AUUGAACGCUGGCGGCAGGCCUAACACAUGCAAGUCGAGCGGAUGAAGGGAGCUUGCUCCUGGAUUCAGCGGCGGACGGGUGAGUAAUGCCUAGGAAUCUGCCUGGUAGUGGGGGAUAACGUCCGGAAACGGGCGCUAAUACCGCAUACGUCCUGAGGGAGAAAGUGGGGGAUCUUCGGACCCCACGCUAUCAGAUGAGCCUAGGUCGGAUUAGCUAGUUGGUGGGGUAAAGGCCUACCAAGGCGACGAUCCGUAACUGGUCUGAGAGGAUGAUCAGUCACACUGGAACUGAGACACGGUCCAGACUCCUACGGGAGGCAGCAGUGGGGAAUAGUGGACAAUGGGCGAAAGCCUGAUCCAGCCAUGCCGCGUGUGUGAAGAAGGUCUUCGGAUUGUAAAGCACUUUAAGUUGGGAGGAAGGGCAGUAAGUUAAUACCUUGCUGUUUUGACGUUAACAACAGAAUAAGCACCGGCUAACUUCGUG